Non-coding RNA from Arabis alpina (gray rockcress), 89 nucleotides. The record is from Rfam. NCBI's taxonomy places the organism in Eukaryota, Viridiplantae, Streptophyta, Magnoliopsida, Brassicales, Brassicaceae.
AAGAGGAGUGAGGAUCAACUAUCCAUACGUCUGCAAAUCAGAAAAUAUAGUGUUGAUUCUAAGACUAAUGCACUACCAUCUGACCUCUU